This 390-nucleotide unclassified non-coding RNA is filed under the name soil metagenome. RNAcentral's name for it is "partial contains 5.8S ribosomal RNA, internal transcribed spacer 2, and large subunit ribosomal RNA". The stretch from base 1 to 122 matches the Rfam family "5.8S ribosomal RNA", at positions 35 to 154 of the family's 154-position model. The record is from RNAcentral.
GAUGAAGAACGUAGUGAAAUGCGAUACUUGGUGUGAAUUGCAGAAUCCCGCGAAUCAUCGAGUUUUUGAACGCAAGUUGCGCCCGAAGCCAUUCGGCCGAGGGCACGUCUGCCUGGGUGUCACGCAUCGUUGCCCCCCCAAACUCCGGUUCGGGCGGGGCGGAAGUUGGCCUCCCGUGCGUGCCUGCGCGCGCGGUUAGCCCAAAAGCGAGUCCUCGGCGACGAGCGCCACGACAAUCGGUGGUUUUUUUACCCUCGUUCCUCGUCGUGCGUGUCCCGUCGCCCGAACGCGCUCUUGCGACCCUCACGCGUCGCCUCGGCGGCGCUCCCAACGCGACCCCAGGUCAGGCGGGACUACCCGCUGAGUUUAAGCAUAUCAAUAAGCGGAGGA